CCUACGGGAGGCAGCAGUGGGGAAUCUUGCGCAAUGCGCGAAAGCGUGACGCAGCAACGCCGCGUGGGGGAAGAAGGCCUUCGGGUUGUAAACCCCUUUCAGUUGGGACGAAGCUUCGCCGGUUAAUAGCCGGCUGGAGUGACGGUACCUUCAGAAGAAGCUCCGGCUAACUACGUGCCAGCAGCCGCGGUAAUACGUAGGGAGCUAGCGUUGUCCGGAAUCAUUGGGCGUAAAGCGCGUGUAGGCGGUCCGGUAAGUCCGCUGUGAAAGUCGGGGGCUCAACCCUCGGAUGCCGGUGGAUACUGUCGGGCUUGAGUACGGAAGAGGCGAGUGGAAUUCCUGGUGUAGCGGUGAAAUGCGCAGAUAUCAGGAGGAACACCAAUUGCGAAGGCAGCUCGCUGGGACGUUACUGACGCUGAGACGCGAAAGCGUGGGGAGCA
RNAcentral lists this ribosomal RNA (440 nucleotides) under uncultured bacterium. RNAcentral describes it as "bacterial SSU rRNA". It matches the Rfam family "Bacterial small subunit ribosomal RNA", at positions 338 to 770 of the family's 1533-position model. The record is from RNAcentral.